RNAcentral lists this ribosomal RNA (912 nucleotides) under bacterium HTCC8043. RNAcentral's name for it is "bacterial SSU rRNA". It matches the Rfam family "Bacterial small subunit ribosomal RNA", at positions 54 to 1012 of the family's 1533-position model. The record is from RNAcentral.
CAUGCAAGUCGAACGAAGUAGCAAUACUUAGUGGCAGACGGGUGAGUAACAUGUAGGUAUCUGCCCUUUGGCCUGGAAUAACACGAGGAAACUUGUGCUAAUACCGGAUAAGUCUUUACAGAGAAAGCUUUAUGCACCAUUGGAUGAGCCUGCACUUGAUUAGUUUGUUGGUGGGGUAAUGGCCUACCAAGACUGUGAUCAAUAGCUGAUUUGAGAGGAUGAUCAGCCACAUUGGGACUGAGACACGGCCCAAACUCCUACGGGAGGCAGCAGUGGGGAAUCUUGCACAAUGGAGGAAACUCUGAUGCAGCGAUGCCGCGUGAGUGAAGAAGGCCCUUGGGUUGUAAAGCUCUUUCGUCGGGGAAGAAAAUGACUGUACCCGAAUAAGAAGGUCCGGCUAACUUCGUGCCAGCAGCCGCGGUAAUACGAAGGGACCUAGCGUAGUUCGGAAUUACUGGGCUUAAAGAGUUCGUAGGUGGUUGAAAAAGUUAGUGGUGAAAUCCCAGAGCUUAACUCUGGAACUGCCAUUAAAACUUUUCAGCUAGAGUAUGAUAGAGGAAAGCAGAAUUUCUAGUGUAGAGGUGAAAUUCGUAGAUAUUAGAAAGAAUACCAAUUGCGAAGGCAGCUUUCUGGAUCAUUACUGACACUGAGGAACGAAAGCAUGGGUAGCGAAGAGGAUUAGAUACCCUCGUAGUCCAUGCCGUAAACGAUGUGUGUUAGACGUUGGAAAUUUAUUUUCAGUGUCGCAGCGAAAGCGAUAAACACACCGCCUGGGGAGUACGACCGCAAGGUUAAAACUCAAAUGAAUUGACGGGGACCCGCACAAGUAGUGGAGCAUGUGGUUUAAUUCGAAGAUACGCGCAGAACCUUACCAACACUUGACAUGUUCGUCGCGACUCUAGAGAUUAGAGU